CCUACGGGUGGCUGCAGUGGGGAAUAUUGGACAAUGGGGGGAACCCUGAUCCAGCCAUGCCGCGUGUGUGAAGAAGGCCCUCGGGUUGUAAAGCACUUUCAGUGAGGAAGAACGCCUGGUGGUUAAUAUCCAUCAGGAAAGACAUCACUCACAGAAGAAGCACCGGCUAACUCCGUGCCAGCAGCCGCGGUAAUACGGAGGGUGCGAGCGUUAAUCGGAAUUACUGGGCGUAAAGCGCGCGUAGGUGGCUUGAUAAGCCGGUUGUGAAAGCCCCGGGCUCAACCUGGGAACGGCAUCCGGAACUGUCAAGCUAGAGUGCAGGAGAGGAAGGUAGAAUUCCCGGUGUAGCGGUGAAAUGCGUAGAGAUCGGGAGGAAUACCAGUGGCGAAGGCGGCCUUCUGGACUGACACUGACACUGAGGUGCGAAAGCGUGGGUAGCAAACAGGAUUAGAUACCCCUGUAGUC
This 465-nucleotide ribosomal RNA is filed under the name Vreelandella stevensii. RNAcentral describes it as "partial 16S ribosomal RNA". It matches the Rfam family "Bacterial small subunit ribosomal RNA", at positions 338 to 795 of the family's 1533-position model. The record is from RNAcentral. Lineage: Bacteria; Pseudomonadati; Pseudomonadota; Gammaproteobacteria; Oceanospirillales; Halomonadaceae.